AUGGAGGUUGAUCACCGCAUCAGGGUGAGCGACGGCGACGGCGAGACGACGGCCGGACAAGGAGGCGUUGUCGGCGUCUUCUUCGCGCGCUGCUGGCUGCGGCUCCGCUCGGUGCUCGUCGGUCUAUGGUGCUGGGUCGCGGGGUUCGCCAGGAAGGUGGGCAGGAUCGCCAGAGAGGAUCCAAGGCGGGUGGCGCACUCGCUCAAGGUCGGCCUGGCGCUCACCCUGGUGUCCGUCUUCUACUACGUCACGCCGCUCUUCAAGGGCUUCGGGGUCUCCACGCUCUGGGCCGUGCUCACCGUCGUGGUCGUCAUGGAGUACACCGUCGGUGGCACGCUGAGCAAAGGCUUGAAUAGAGCCUUCGCGACGCUGGUGGCUGGGUUCAUCGCCGUGGGAGCUCAUCAGGUGGCUAACCGCUGUGGUGCACAGGGGGAGCCCAUACUGCUCGCCAUCUUCGUCUUCUUGCUAGCGUCGGCGGCAACGUUCUCGCGCUUCAUCCCGGAGAUCAAGGCGAGGUACGACUACGGCGUGACCAUCUUCAUACUCACCUUCAGCCUGGUGGCCGUGUCGAGCUACCGCGUGGAGGAGCUUAUUCAGCUGGCACACCAGCGCUUCUCCACCAUCGUCAUCGGCGUCCUUACCUGCCUCUGCACCACCAUCUUCGUCUUCCCUGUCUGGGCCGGCGAGGAUCUCCACAAGCUCACCGCCGGCAACCUCGAUAAGCUGGCACAGUUUCUUCAAGGAUUGGAAUCUGAAUGCUUUGGAGAAAAGGCUGCCGGCGAGAAUUUGGAGGGCAAAGCCUUUCUGCAAGUGUACAAGAGCGUCCUCAACUCCAAGGCCAGUGAGGACUCUCUGUGCAAUUUUGCCAAAUGGGAGCCCGGUCAUGGCAAAUUCGGCUUCCGACACCCAUGGAGCCAAUACCAGAAGCUCGGAGCUCUUUGUCGUCAGUGCGCGUCUUCAAUGGAGGCUCUUGCUUCCUAUGUCAUCACACUGCAAAAGUCCCAGGUAAUUGCAGAUUCUCCCCCAAUUCAUGAUAUUAGAAGGAGACUAUGGAGCCAAGAUAUUGACCGACACCAUUUUCCUGAUCAACAGUACCCUGAGGCCAAUCCGGAGCUAACCUUGAAGGUCCGAACAGCAUGCGGGGAAAUGAGCUCACACUCUGCUAAGGCGCUCAAGGAGCUAUCAACAGCCAUUCGGACAAUGAUCAUACCAUCUCCAGCCAACAUCACCAUGUCCGCAGCCAUCAAAGCUGCAAAAGACCUCAGAAAUGAAUUAUCAGAGGAAGCAGCCCUGUUGCAAGUGAUGCAUGUGGCUGUUACUGCGACACUUCUGUCAGACUUGGUUACGACAAUAGUGAAAAUUGCAGAAACCGCUGAUAAUCUAGCACGGCUUGGCCACUUCAAGAACCCUGAAAAAACUCAGAAAGAUGUCGCUAUCAACAUUCCGAGCAGAUAA
This 1455-nucleotide ribosomal RNA is filed under the name Triticum aestivum (bread wheat). RNAcentral describes it as "partial small subunit ribosomal RNA". Lineage: Eukaryota; Viridiplantae; Streptophyta; Magnoliopsida; Poales; Poaceae. The record is from RNAcentral.